Empidonax traillii (willow flycatcher) is the source of this 339-nucleotide long non-coding RNA. RefSeq lists it as uncharacterized. The record is from RefSeq and is a predicted model, not a curated record. The transcript is spliced from 3 exons. Lineage: Eukaryota; Metazoa; Chordata; Aves; Passeriformes; Tyrannidae.
CAGGAUGGCCUCCCUGGCACCCGCCCACGCACCCGGGCCCCGCAGCCGGUACUGGUACGGCGUGCAGGGACCGAAGGCCACCUCCAGAGCCAGCUUGGGGUCCGUGAGGAACAGGACCUGUUUGGCUGUGUUGCUCAGCUCCACUGCGAUAUCGACGCCUGAGUUCCCGGUGCCAACCACGACCACCCGCUUUCCCAAAAAGGACUGUGGGCUCUUGUAGUCCCGGCUGUGCAGAACAGUCAGUGCAGCUGUUUGGCCAGUGCAGACCCUGCCUGACACCUGACCAGGAGGGCAAGACAGCACCAAACAUCCAAGUGCAGGCCAGGAGCCUGCAGCACC